GGCUACGAGGACGAACGCUGGCGGCGUGCCUAACACAUGCAAGUCGAACGGAGUUAAUGAUUUCGGUUGUUAACUUAGUGGCGAACGGGUGAGUAACGCGUGAACAACCUGACCCAAAGAGGGGGAUAACAUUUGGAAACAGAUGCUAAUACCGCAUAAGACCACAACGUCACAUGGCGAAGGGGUCAAAGGAGCAAUCCGCUUUGGGAGGGGUUCGCGUCCCAUUAGGUAGAUGGCGGGGUAACGGCCCACCAUGCCAACGAUGGGUAGCCGAGCUGAGAGGCUGAUCGGCCACACUGGAACUGAGACACGGUCCAGACUCCUACGGGAGGCAGCAGUGGGGAAUAUUGGGCAAUGGGCGCAAGCCUGACCCAGCAACGCCGCGUGAGGGAAGAAGGCCUUUGGGUCGUAAAGCUCUGUCCUGAAGGAAGAAGGAAGUGACGGUACUUCAGGAGGAACGCCCCGGCUAACUACGUGCCAGCCGCCGC
This 488-nucleotide ribosomal RNA is filed under the name uncultured bacterium. RNAcentral's name for it is "bacterial SSU rRNA". It matches the Rfam family "Bacterial small subunit ribosomal RNA", at positions 26 to 518 of the family's 1533-position model. The record is from RNAcentral.